AAGCAGAAGGCCUCUGCGCGGGAAUGAAAGUGCGCAUGCGUAAGAGGGAGCAUGUUGCUCGGUUAACACUAGAUUUUAUUGGCUGCAGACACACCCAGCAUCUUCUUGCGCUCCUCCUUGAGGUGGAUGGACAGCUAGCUGCAGAUGGCACAGAAUGGUGAGCAUCUUUUUGCACGCCGCAUUGCCCGCUGGCUCCAAGAUCUCGGCUGCCAGAUGCAGCAACAAAGCUUCUUUGUACAGACAACCCUGGACACACUUCUAGCAGCAAUUCUUCUUGCAGGAACUGGUGCAAGAACAGGAUUUAUCCGUGGCACAGGAGCAGUUGGUGUCCACUGGGAGUGGAGGCAGAAGAGAGACCAGAGCGGGUAUGUUAGGAGAGAAAGCAGUGACUUCAACAGAAGUGGAGUAAAUAAAGAUGAUUGCAGAACUUGGAAGCUGACGAAAUUAAUUUUGGAAAAGAGCUGGCUUGGAGCAUGACAGAAGAAUGCGUUGGAAAGAAUGCUGGGAGCCCAACUCAAGACUGAUGUGUGCUUGGCAGGCAGUCUACCCCCGAUCUCAGUCCUCAGCCUUUCGGCCUUUUUUCUUUCCUUUUUGGAGACAGAAUUGCAUCAUAUGGCAUCCUACACAGUCCUGCCUCAGUCUCUGGAGUGCUGGGAUUGUAGGCCUAUGCCACCUAGCCUUUCUACAAU
RNAcentral lists this long non-coding RNA (689 nucleotides) under Mus caroli (Ryukyu mouse). RNAcentral's name for it is "lncRNA (MGP_CAROLIEiJ_G0006879.1)". Lineage: Eukaryota; Metazoa; Chordata; Mammalia; Rodentia; Muridae. The record is from RNAcentral.